RNAcentral lists this ribosomal RNA (447 nucleotides) under uncultured bacterium. RNAcentral describes it as "partial 16S ribosomal RNA". It matches the Rfam family "Bacterial small subunit ribosomal RNA", at positions 29 to 523 of the family's 1533-position model. The record is from RNAcentral.
AACGAACGCUGGCGGCAGGCCUAACACAUGCAAGUCGAGCGCCCCGCAAGGGGAGCGGCGGACGGGUGAGUAACGCGUGGGAAUUUUCCUCAAGGUACGGAACAACUCAGGGAAACUUGGGCUAAUACCGUAUGAUGUCUAGCGACCAAAGAUUUAUCGCCUUGGGAUAAGCCCGCGUCAGAUUAGGUAGUUGGUGGGGUAACGGCCUACCAAGCCUGCGAUCUGUAGCUGGUCUGAGAGGACGAUCAGCCACAUUGGGACUGAUACACGGCCCAAACUCCUACGGGAGGCAGCAGUGGGGAAUCUUGCGCAAUGGGCGAAAGCCUGACGCAGCCAUGCCGCGUGAAUGAUGAAGGUCUUAGGAUUGUAAAGUUCUUUCGCCCGUGACGAUGAUGACGGUAACGGGAGAAGAAGCCCCGGCUAACUUCGUGCCAGCCGCCGCCGUAA